AGAGUUUGAUCAUGGCUCAGGAUUAACGUUGGUAGUAUGCAUAACACAUGCAAGUCGAGCGGAAAAAGGUAGUAAUAUCUUUUUUAGCGGCGAACGGGUGAGUAAUGCUUAUCUAACUUACCAAUUAGUGGGGGAUAACAAUGGGAAACCAUUGCUAAUACCGCAUUUGUUUAUUUUUCUUAUGAAUCAUAAAUUAAAGGAAUUCUUUUGGGAUUUCGCUAAUUGAUAGGGAUAAGUCGUAUUAGCUAGUUGGUGGGGUAAAGGCCUACCAAGGCAAUGAUGCGUAGCCAGUCUGAGAGGAUGAAUGGCCACAAGGGAACUGAGACACGGUCCCUACUCCUACGGGAGGCAGCAGUGAGGAAUUUUCCGCAAUGGGGGAAACCCUGACGGAGCAAUACUACGUGAAGGAAGAAGGUCUAAGGAUUGUAAACUUCUGUUAGCGCGGAAUAAGAAUCAAUUUGUUUUGAUUUUGACUGUACGCGCAGAGAAAGCCACGACUAACUAUGUGCCAGCAGUCGCGGUAAGACAUAGGUGGCGAACGUUAUCCGGAAUUAUUGGGCGUAAAGGGUGCGUAGAUUGUGCAGAAAGUUACUGGUGGUAAAUCGGGGCCCAACCCCGUGGAAGCUUGUAAUACUACUUGCACUAGAGUGCAGAAGAGGUUGACGGAACUCCAUGUGGAGCGGUAAAAUGCAUAGAUAUAUGGAAGAACAUCAAUAAAGGCGAAGGCAGUCGACUAUUCUGUUGCUGACGUUGAGGCACGAAAGCGUGGGGAGCAAAAAGGAUUAGAUACCCUAGUAGUCC
Molecule: ribosomal RNA, 801 nt
Filed under: uncultured bacterium
Lineage: Bacteria
Description: bacterial SSU rRNA
Rfam family: Bacterial small subunit ribosomal RNA
Source: RNAcentral